UACAGAGGGUGCAAGCGUUAAUAGGAUUUACUGGGCGUAAAGCGCGCGUAGGUGGCCAAUUAAGUCAAAUGUGAAAUCCCCGAGCUUAACUUGGGAAUUGCAUUCGAUACUGGUUGGCUAGAGUAUGGGAGAGGAUGGUAGAAUUCCAGGUGUAGCGGUGAAAUGCGUAGAGAUCUGGAGGAAUACCGAUGGCGAAGGCAGCCAUCUGGCCUAAUACUGACACUGAGGUGCGAAAGCAUGGGUAGCAA
This 248-nucleotide ribosomal RNA is filed under the name uncultured bacterium. RNAcentral's name for it is "partial 16S ribosomal RNA". It matches the Rfam family "Bacterial small subunit ribosomal RNA", at positions 524 to 771 of the family's 1533-position model. The record is from RNAcentral.